RNAcentral lists this ribosomal RNA (635 nucleotides) under uncultured ciliate. RNAcentral's name for it is "SSU rRNA". It matches the Rfam family "Eukaryotic small subunit ribosomal RNA", at positions 326 to 971 of the family's 1831-position model. The record is from RNAcentral. Lineage: Eukaryota; Ciliophora.
UGGUAGUGUAUUGGACAACCAUGGCGAUCACGGGUAACGGGGAAUUAGGGUUCGAUUCCGGAGAGGGAGCCUGAGAAAUGGCUACCACAUCUAAGGAAGGCAGCAGGCGCGUAAAUUACCCAAUCCUAAUUCAGGGAGGUAGUGACAAGAAAUAACAACUCGGACCUCACAUGAGGUUACGGGAUUGCAAUGAGAACAAUUUAAACCACUUAUCGAGCAACAAUUGGAGGGCAAGUCUGGUGCCAGCAGCCGCGGUAAUUCCAGCUCCAAUAGCGUAUAUUAAAGUUGUUGCAGUUAAAGAGCUCGUAGUUGAAUUUCUGGCCAGCGCUGUUCUUGGCUCUCUGAGUCGGCUCAGUGUUUGGUCAUCCGUAUGGGAAGCUAACUCGGCCUUCACUGGUCGGUUAGUGGAUCAUACACUUUACUUUGAAAAAAUUAGAGUGUUUCAGGCAGGCAAUUGCUUGGAUACUUCAGCAUGGAAUAAUGGAAUAGGACUUUGACCUAUUUGUUGGUUUCUUCGAGGUCAAGGUAAUGAUUAAUAGGGACAGUUGGGGGCAUUCGUAUUUAAUUGUCAGAGGUGAAAUUCUUGGAUUUAAUAAAGACGAACUUAUGCGAAAGCAUUUGCCAAGGAUGUUUUC